GCCCAGUGACCAAUGUUCAACGGCCGCGGUAUCCUAACCGUGCGAAGGUAGCGUAAUCACUUGUUCUUUAAAUGUGGACUAGUAUGAACGGCAUCACGAGGGUUAUACUGUCUCCUUUCUCUAAUCAGUGAAACUAAUCUCCCCGUGAAGAAGCGAGGAUGAAACUAUAAGACGAGAAGACCCUAUGGAGCUUUAAAGUUCUUUUUCAAACGCCAAACCUCUUCCAAGUCACAGACUCCUGCACGAAACCACGCGCCAUGAAGACAACUUUUAGGUUGGGGUGACCAUGGAGUAUAAAACAGCCUCCACGCUGAACAGGCCUCUAAACCUUGAGCCAAGGACCACAGCCCGCCGCACUAAAAAAUUAACACACAUUGAUCCAAUGAAUUUUGAUCAACGAACCAAGUUACCCUAGGGAUAACAGCGCAAUCUACUUCAAGAGUUCCUAUCGACAAGUGGGUUUACGACCUCGAUGUUGGAUCAGGGUGUCCCAGUGGUGCAGCCGCUACUAAUGGUUCGUUUGUUCAACGAUUAAAACCCUACGUGA
Molecule: ribosomal RNA, 547 nt
Filed under: Scinax sp. 1 LFSRF-2021
Lineage: Eukaryota; Metazoa; Chordata; Amphibia; Anura; Hylidae
Description: partial large subunit ribosomal RNA
Rfam family: Bacterial large subunit ribosomal RNA
Source: RNAcentral